Molecule: long non-coding RNA, 212 nt
Filed under: Mytilus galloprovincialis (Mediterranean mussel)
Lineage: Eukaryota; Metazoa; Mollusca; Bivalvia; Mytilida; Mytilidae
Source: RNAcentral
AUUAAGUCAAAUGUACGGCCAUCAAUAAUGAUAACAAGAGUGCACAGGCUGAAAUUUCUCGCCUCUUUACUGCCAAAUGAUUGCCAUGCUGAUAGUCCUACUUUACUACAAGUAACACAUUAACUUUGCAUGAUCAAAGAAAAAGAGGUCAAGGCCAGAUAAUUUAAAACCAAACCGGAAAACAUGUAUUACUCCUUAUAAUCAUUCCAUAC